ACAAUGCGGAACAAUGUUUUGCAAUUGGAUUGAGAACAACGUACAAACCUUAUCGAUAAACAAUUGGAGGGCAAGUCUGGUGCCAGCAGCCGCGGUAAUUCCAGCUCCAAUAGCGUAUAUUAACGUUGUUGCAGUUAAAAAGCUCGUAGUUGAAAUGAAGGGUGGUUGUGUAAUGAAUACAUUCGUGUAUUUUGUUAUUCUACUACCCUCCUUCUAAAUUCGAUAUAUGAGUAUUAAUUUACUUGUAUAUGGUUUUAGACUUUUACUGUGAGAAAAUUAGAGUGUUCAAAGCAGGCAUUUGCUUGAAUAUAUUAGCAUGGAAUAAUCAUGUAUGAUUUUCAUGAUGUAUUUGAUUGGUUUGGUUCAUGAGAAUAAGAUUAAAAGGGACAGUUGGGGGUAUUCAUAUUCAAUAGUCAGAGGUGAAAUUCUCGGAUUUAUGGAA
RNAcentral lists this ribosomal RNA (442 nucleotides) under Blastocystis sp. Its description in RNAcentral is "SSU rRNA". It matches the Rfam family "Eukaryotic small subunit ribosomal RNA", at positions 477 to 933 of the family's 1831-position model. Lineage: Eukaryota; Bigyra; Opalinata; Blastocystidae. The record is from RNAcentral.